UAUGCCAAAGACAGAAAUGAUUUGCACUUCCAGCAGAACCCUGGAGGAAACUUCCAUUGGCUUUAGACAAUGCUGUUUGAGAGUCCAGAUGACAUAAUGCAGUAUAUUGCAAAAAUGAGAAAAUAACCACAGAGAUGCUUGGUGCCAUUCUCCAGCUCGUGCUUUCUCCAGAGACGGCCAGAUUUCCCUAAAGGCAGACAACACAAGGAAAUUGCAGCUGGAGACACAAAAUCAGAAAUAUCUGCUGAGCCUGAAGCACCAUGUUCCUUUCAGAGCUUGAAUCCAAGUUCCCAUCAUCCUGCAAAUAUGCCUGAAAAAGUACUGCACUGAAAAUGACUCUGCUUUGCAGCUAUAGAUGCCUUCUGCUCUUUAAGCCAGUCCCCUUCAACAACACAUAUUCUCAUCUGUGCAUUUUUAAUGGAAGCAUAAUUUUUGUCAUAUGUUAUAAUGAAUAGCAUACAACUAAACGGUGCGUGUACGACUGUAAUUCCAUCUGGGAUUUUGUUGACAUUGAUAAACCACUCACAUUUUGCUUUUGUGGUUCAUGCCAUUACAGCAGCUCAAUGGGAUUACAAUCCUGUUAAGUAUAGCUGGUCAUAGGCAUUAUAACAUAUGAUAAUUACUGUAUGUUUUAUUAAAUAAAAGGGUUAAAUUUAAAUAUGUAAUUUAAAAGUCUCAUCAAUGGUCUGAUAAUAUGGUAUUAAAAUUAUCUUUAUGUUAUUA
This is a long non-coding RNA of Apus apus (common swift), 723 nucleotides long. RefSeq lists it as uncharacterized. NCBI's taxonomy places the organism in Eukaryota, Metazoa, Chordata, Aves, Apodiformes, Apodidae. The transcript has 3 exons. The record is from RefSeq and is a predicted model, not a curated record.